Molecule: long non-coding RNA, 3388 nt
Organism: Oreochromis niloticus (Nile tilapia)
Lineage: Eukaryota; Metazoa; Chordata; Actinopteri; Cichliformes; Cichlidae
Exons: 3
Source: RefSeq, a predicted model, not a curated record
GAAAGAGAGCCAGGAACAACAACGUCACAUUAGAAAGGACCAAACACGACAACAUUAUUCAGGAAAAAGCACGAGAGCAGUCAGCAGAGAGUCUGCAGGGCUGCGCCUUUUAGACUUAAAGACGUGAAAAAUGUGACAGCCUGACUUCCUGUUUCCUUUUUACAUCAAAAAUUAAGAUACAAAGACGCACUGAUAAAACAUGGGGAUGCCAUCAACUGAGAGUUUAUGAAAACUUAAACUGGCUCAUCAGCAGAAGACCAGCACUCAUUUUCUGAACUAGCGUUUUCUUGUAAUGGAGCAUUUAAUACUGUAGUGGUUUCAGCAGGCCAUUCCAAACGUCCAUUUUCCUAGCAACGUUUUCCCGUUCUUCCUCAAGAUGCUGAGGUGUUUUCAUGCCAGAAGAAGAUAAAUAAUUUCUCCAGAAAGUUCUGGGUCUAAAUGCCAGAAGUAAAAUGCACAACAUGUUUGUGUUUUCAGACUUGCGUCCGUGGUGAUCUAUAGGGCAGCACUUCAUGAGAUUUCACGUGUUUCCUUGGAGGAGACGCCACAUUAAAGUCCGACCCCAACAAAACUUAAGUAAUGUAAAAGACUGAUUUAAAAAUCUGUGCUUCGGUUUUAGCUAUCGAGGCACUUUUGCUUGGAUCUACGCCCGAGACUGAAUAGUUCAAAUGCAUUUUUUAUUGUUUUAUUCUAUUAAAGUUAAUUACUGUUGUUAUUCUGCAUAUUUUGUGCUUUUCUGUUUUAACAAAGCUUUGACACACCAUCUCAGAGCUAUGUAUAUUUUAAAUUGCAGCUUUGAUGCAGACUGAAGGCAGAACAAAGGCUUGUGUGGGAUGCCUUUGUCACACUCUGCUUUAAUUAAGAUUAAUUGCGUACCUGGGAAGAGUCCUCUGGCAGUGUUUAGCCCGGACGCCGGCAGCUAAACACUGUCACACGGUGACGUUCAGCGGCCGGAGGAGGAGGGGGAGGACGCGAACACUGACGGCUCUUUUUGUUUUGACUUGCAGAGCUGAGACAGCAGUAAAUACAACUGUUUAUUGAUGUCGUGUUUAAUCUGGCAGCAACUCCGAGGCUCCGGGAACGCGCAGCACGCAUCAGUAUUUUGACGCAAUCGCACAUCUGAUGAAAAAACCUGCGGAAUCUGCCUGAGAAACAUCCUGUUUUUAUGAUUUACUGCACACUGUGCAUCAUUUUUAAAAGACAUACAAAAAACCAACAACACACGAUGACAGCAGUUCCUUAAAUACUCAGAAUAUUUAGCCACUGUGACAUUUUCAUUUGUACUUCUGGACACCAGUUUUUAUAUAAAAAUACAUCUUUUAGUUGGUUUGAGUUUAUGGAAAGAAAAAUUCCCACUUAUUUUAUAUGAUUUCUAUCAGACUGCUCUGAUUUCUACAGUUUCUACUUUUAGUUCAAAUUUUGAACCUGGAAUGGGUGACAGUGGUAUUUGACUAGGCAGGCAUAAAGACUACUUGGUAUGGGUUACGAUCAAUAAUAAUAAUAAUGAUGAUAAUAAUAACAAUAACAACAACUCAGGGUCACCUUACAACUCAAACCAACAAGAACAACAUUAAAAGACAUUUACAAUCCAGGAAUAAUAAGAAUGUAAACAUAAAGCUUUUGGCUGAUACGACUGUGACAAAGAGUCAAGCUGACGAAGGUGUAGUGGUAAUAAAUUACUGAUGCGGGCGCUAAAGGACAGAGUAUUGUUCAAGUUGAAGACUUUUGACACUGUGAGAAGUGUGGAACUGACAAAUAUCUAUAGAGACAACAGAAGGAUGCAUUUUAGAAAAUGAGUCCUCUGAACUAAUGAGGAUGAUGUGAGUUUUUUUGCCAUUGAGGUUGAGCUGACUGUCAUCAAAGUGAUGAUCGCCUGUAGGCAGGAGGCGAGAAUAGGACCGGAAGAGAAGGUCUGGAUUGUGUAGAAAAUAGAGUUGUGUGUCAUCUGCAUAAAAUAUAAUAGAAGAAAUAAAUUCAAAAAUUAAGCUAUUUCCUAGAAGAAGAAGAUAAAUUAUAAAUAGCAGUAAUGCCUGAAGGACACCGCUGAUGGGACGUGGACAGUAUAGCCCUGAACAAACGGUUUCCUGUACGAUGUGAACUGCUAAAGUGCUGUGUGCUCAAUUCCAGUGUUAGCCAACCAAAAGGUUUACCUCUUAAACACUCUUGUUUUGAGUACUAUAAAAUACUGGUUAAAGUCACAUAUUAAAAACUACUUGGUAAUGUUAAGAGAUGUUGUGUUAUACAGUUGCAUUUGUUGUCAUAUUUAACAUACGUCACCCACAUGUAACUCAUUGGUAACAAAAAUACAACAAAAUAUAGAAUGAAUGUCUUUGAGACCGUACUGAGACUCGCCUCGAGUCCACUCGUGUGCACACAUUCACUCUGUUAACAAGUCUUAAAUUCCUUAAAGCUUCAUGCAAACGUAAACCAACUGAAAAAUAGCAAGUGCAGGAAAUGAAAAAUAUUUUUUGACUGCUUUUGUUGCUUUUCUUUUCCACUUUAAGGAAAGUUGCGUUUCUGCCGGGCGAGCGCCGUCUCUGCAGCUCAUUUCCCACUGAGAAUAAACGGGCCGGCGAUGGAACAUUUCCCAUGAGUCCGUCUGUCUGUCACGGAUGAAGAGGGGCUCUAAGCAGCCCCGUCCCAUCUUAAUCUGUUCUGCAUGCUAAGCAGAGCCCCCCGCCCUCCCUCUUCAGAUUGUUAUAAAUGCUGUUUAUGGUCUUGCUAUGACAACUGUGAAGGGCACGGCGAGGAUUUAUCACGGGAUUAUCUCCUCAACCAAUGAAUAGACGGGACGGGUUGUAAAUGACCCUGCAGGGUAAUAAAAGAAGACGCUGCUCCUCUGGGACAAUAAGAGGAGGAGGUGAUGUUAUUAUUAAUAUUAAUAAUAACAUCAUGCACAGACAGAUCGGCUCACUUUAAUUCAGCCAUGUUUGUUUUAGUUUGUUGUUUACCUUUUAGUUUUUAUUGAUUUUAAAGAAAGCGUCCAUUCAUCUGUACGUUAUUUCAGGGUCACACGUUUAAACUCUGGGCUGCAUUUAGAGCAACUUCUUUAGAGCAUGCUCACGUGUACGGAAGACAAGAACUCCAAAAUACGAUUUUGUUAAUAAAGAUGCCAAAUUAGGAAAGUGCUUCAACAGACAAGAAAAGUAGAACAUUCAGUUUAAAAGAAAACAAACCAAGAGCCAAUGCAAACGGCCAACAUAGUUAUUGAAUACCAAUAAAACCAAUACAGCAGUUGUAACAGAGAUAAACAUAAAAUCAUGUCUGAAAAAUAUUAUUUUUAAAAAUAAAUAAUAUAUGAGUUAGUGCCUCGCAUUGUGUUUGGCUCAUUAUAUGAUCGUAUUCUUAAUGAAUCCUGCUGACAAGAGUUAAAUGAAUAAAAAUUUAC